CAAAACCAUGGUACACUUUCUCUGCUGUACCAAGCUUUAAAUUUAUUCUCAGGUAGUAGCUGAGAGACAGCUUUAGAUUUUAGCACUGUACACACACAUACACACACCUUAGGGUUAACCUGUUCCCCUUAUUUUUAAGCUUGACUUGUUUUUUCUUUUUUCACCUCCCUUUACUGGAGGGCCAUAAUCUGA
Molecule: long non-coding RNA, 192 nt
Organism: Dermochelys coriacea (leatherback sea turtle)
Lineage: Eukaryota; Metazoa; Chordata; Testudines; Dermochelyidae
Exons: 3
Source: RefSeq, a predicted model, not a curated record